RNAcentral lists this non-coding RNA (131 nucleotides) under Robbsia andropogonis. RNAcentral's name for it is "Burkholderia andropogonis Glycine sequence". It matches the Rfam family "Glycine riboswitch aptamer". Rfam says of the family: This family represents the bacterial glycine riboswitch. Glycine riboswitches usually consist of two metabolite-binding aptamers domains with similar structures in tandem. Lineage: Bacteria; Pseudomonadati; Pseudomonadota; Betaproteobacteria; Burkholderiales; Burkholderiaceae. The record is from RNAcentral.
CCGGGCGCAUCGGGAGAGCGCGACGUCACGGGCCGGCAGGCAUGCGCAUUGCGCGGAUGCUUGCAUAGCCGACGUCGCCGCCGAAGGGGUAACACCCAUAAACUCUCAGGCAAAAGGACCGAUCGCGCCGG